GAUGAACGCUGGCGGCGUGCCUAAUACAUGCAAGUCGAGCGAACGGACGAGAAGCUUGCUUCUCUGAUGUUAGCGGCGGACGGGUGAGUAACACGUGGAUAACCUACCUAUAAGACUGGGAUAACUUCGGGAAACCGGAGCUAAUACCGGAUAAUAUUUUGAACCGCAUGGUUCAAAAGUGAAAGACGGUCUUGCUGUCACUUAUAGAUGGAUCCGCGCUGCAUUAGCUAGUUGGUAAGGUAACGGCUUACCAAGGCAACGAUGCAUAGCCGACCUGAGAGGGUGAUCGGCCACACUGGAACUGAGACACGGUCCAGACUCCUACGGGAGGCAGCAGAAGGCAAUCUUCCGCAAUGAGCGAAAGCCUGACGGAGCAACGCCGCGUGAGUGAUGAAGGUCUUCGGAUCGUAAAACGCUGUUAUUAGGGAAGAACAUAUGUGUAAGUAACUAUGCACAUCUUGACGGUACCUAAUCAGAAAGCCACGGCUAACUACGUG
RNAcentral lists this ribosomal RNA (497 nucleotides) under uncultured bacterium. RNAcentral describes it as "partial 16S ribosomal RNA". It matches the Rfam family "Bacterial small subunit ribosomal RNA", at positions 28 to 507 of the family's 1533-position model. The record is from RNAcentral.